GUCGUCCGCGGCGCCGCGCGCGGUACAACGCGGACACGAGUGUGUGAUUUGUUGAGCGAUACUUAUCGAAUCCCGAUACGGUACAAUAUUUUAAUGGAAGACCGUGGAUAAUGACGUUCCGGUAAAUACUUCGAGACGUACGAACAUGCUUUCAAAUAAUUUCCAUUCGCGCGUCGCGAUCACGGGGAAAUUGGAGAACAGGGGAACAGCAUUGAUGCAGAUAUGGAGGGCGGCUAACGAUUCUGGCCUGCUAAUGCUGGACACGUUUACACGCGGACAUCAUGUGUCAGUGCAGAUUGAACGCGAUGCGAAACCGGAGAAGCAGAGCAAAGCGUGCAUGCGGGAUUUGGGGAACUGACCGGAAGCAGCCGUGACCUCGAAGGUCGAAGGGUUACCACUCACGUUCCACGGUGACAAGGAACGCGAGUGGUAUCCUCCACGGAUCGGUUCGCCGUGAACAGGUUCGAGAAGAGGAAUCAACGUUGCCGAUACGCUGCUACUCACCGUCGUUGUUUGUUCGUGCACGUGGCGGCGAUGAGCUGGCCGUUGGGAAAUUUCGGGAGACGUUAUCCCUUGGCUGCGGUUGCGGCCCUUCGAGGUUCGGACUCGGGCUGAAUUCAGCCCUGAAAUCUGCCCUGUCGAAGCCCUCCUCGAACUCGUGAAUCAGAUCGAUUUCAUCUGGCUCGACGUCGCCCUCGUACUGCUCUCUUAACACUGCCCUCGGCACUGAAAUAUGGAACACAACCUUGGAUUAUUUACCGUCUAACGUGCGGGGAAAUUGCGCCGAAAAAUCACGCGGCAGGAACAAUUGGUAUCGUUGCCGUGUAACAAGAGCGUGCACGGCAAUGGAGUCUGCUCGAUGUUGAUUGCAGCGAAUGUAAAAUGGAACGGUACGUUGAUAUUUCAGAAACUGCGGUUAAUAGAAGAACAGCAAUAAUUCUCGCCGCGUUGCAAUUGUUAGUUCGCGCGAAAUUGUGGCAAAUAUCGAUUGUUAAGGUUGCGAAUUGUUCGGCGAAGUAGGACAUUUACAUUUUGGAAAUUAAAUUGAACUGUAUCGGAAUUCUGCAUCGAGUCAGUAUACGUGUGUGCUCUCUUAAGGAAAAUUAAUUAAAUAUACUGAUAGAAUCGUACUAAUUACAUUACGUAAUGAUUAAUUAAUACAACAGCUAUCGGUGUGUAUCGAGAGAAUAUUUUUAAAAAAGUAAUUAAA
Molecule: long non-coding RNA, 1210 nt
Organism: Megalopta genalis
Lineage: Eukaryota; Metazoa; Arthropoda; Insecta; Hymenoptera; Halictidae
Source: RefSeq, a predicted model, not a curated record